AUACGGAGGGUGCAAGCGUUACUCGGAAUCACUGGGCGUAAAGCGCGCGCAGGCGGGCUGAUAAGUUGGAUGUGAAAGCCUACGGCUCAACCGUAGAACUGCAUCCAAAACUGUCAGUCUAGAGUCUGGGAGGGGAAGAUGGAAUUAGUUGUGUAGGGGUAAAAUCCGUAGAGAUAACUAGGAAUACCAAAAGCGAAGGCGAUCUUCUGGAACACUACUGACGCUGAGGCGCGAAAGCGUGGGGAGCAAACGGGAUUAGAUACCCUAGUAGUCC
This 274-nucleotide ribosomal RNA is filed under the name uncultured bacterium. RNAcentral's name for it is "partial 16S ribosomal RNA". It matches the Rfam family "Bacterial small subunit ribosomal RNA", at positions 523 to 796 of the family's 1533-position model. The record is from RNAcentral.